CAUUAUCGAGAUCGAACCUCUGGAGGGGGGAGGGAGAGAGUCCUCGCGUCGCUCUCUCGAACCUUUCCGAGGCUUCAGCCCUCUGACACCCGUGUGCACCCACUGUAGGUCCUUGGGGACCUAUGUCUUCUUCGAACUCGCAUGUCUACAGAAUGUCGUCCGUGGCCUCGGUCACAGUGAACCUUAUACAACUUUCAGCAAUGGAUCUCUUGGCUCUCGCAUCGAUGAAGGACGCAGCGAAUCGCGAUAAGUAAUGUGAAUUGCAGAUUUUCCGUGAAUCAUCGAAUCUUUGAACGCACCUUGCGCUCCUUGGUAUUCCGAGGAGCAUGCCUGUUUGAGUGUCAUCGAAAUAUCAAAUCGAAGCUUUCGACCUCGUCGGAGCCCGGUUUGGAUAUGGGAGUCUGCGGGCGGAACCCCUCCUGUCGGAGGGACGUCGGCUCUCCUCAAAAGCAUCAGUGUUGGGUGCGAGCCUUGCAUGGCACGGCCUCUUCGACGUCGUAAUGACCGUCGUGGGCUGGAAGUGUGUGGAUCGAAGAUGCCCGUCGCUUUCCAACUUUGCGAGCCCGGUCUGUCCGGCCGCAUGUCAUCGAAGCUUGACCUCAAAUCAGGUAGGACUACCCGCUGAACUU
This 629-nucleotide ribosomal RNA is filed under the name uncultured fungus. Its description in RNAcentral is "eukaryotic LSU rRNA". The stretch from base 190 to 344 matches the Rfam family "5.8S ribosomal RNA". The record is from RNAcentral. Lineage: Eukaryota; Fungi.